UUUUGAAAAAAAGAAAAGAAAAGAACUCAUUGGUGUGUUACUUACUAUUGUGUACAUUGUUGUUUCUCUCCAGGCUGGACUAUGUUUCUAUGUUGAUAGUAAGAGUAGUAACAACGAACGAAGGGAAAGGGAUCAACCUCUUCUCUACGCACUCAUUUCUCACUUUCAGUACAAAAGUAACAUUGCAACAACAUGAGCGUCAUCGACAUUCUAACCCGAGUCGAUUCAAUUUGCAAGAAAUACGACCGAUACGACGUCGUUAAGCAAAACGAUUCCAAUUUCUCCGCCGACGAUGCAUUCGCCAAACUCUACUCCGUCGUUGACGCCGACAUCGAGGCUGCACUUCAGAAAGCAGAAACUGCUUCUAAGGAGAAAAAUAGGGCUUCAACUGUAGCAACCAAUGCUGAAAUUCGUCGUACUAAGGCUAGGUUACUUGAAGAGAUCCCCAAGUUGCAGAGAUUGGCAGUAAAAAAGGUAAAGGGGCUUUCGUCGCAAGAAUUUGCUGCCCGUAAUGAUUUGGUUCUUUCAUUGCCAGAGAGGAUCCAAGCUAUCCCGGAUGGGACCCCUGCUGCACCCAAACAAACUGGAGGUUGGGGAGCUUCUGCCUUACGUCCUGAAAUUAAAUUUGAUUCAGAUGGCCGAUUCGAAGAUGGAUACUUUGAACAAACCAAAGAAUCAAGUCAGUUUAGGGAGGAGUAUGAAAUGCGUAAAAUGAAACAGGAUCAAGGUUUGGAUGUGAUUGCAGAAGGAUUGGAUACUUUGAAAAACAUGGCACAUGAUAUGAAUGAGGAAUUUGAUAAGCAAGUUCCACUGAUGGAUGAGAUUGACACAAAGGUGGACAAGGCAUCCUCUGACCUUAAAAAUACCAACGUUAAACUUAAAGACACAGUUACCCAGCUACGAUCCAGUCGAAACUUCUGUAUUGAUAUUGUUUUGUUGAUUAUAAUUUUGGGAAUUGCUGCCUAUUUGUACAAUGUGCUAAAAUGAUACGACAUACUUUUGUUGCAAUGUGCUAAAACAAUACGACAUACAAGGCUGUUGUAUUUAUUCUUGUGGAACAAAGGAUAGAAGGCGGGUUAUCGAAAUUAUCAAGCUAAAAACAAGACUAGAGAAAACAUGUAGAAUCUUAGUGUGCAAAUAACUUUUUGUGCUUGUUUUGUGCCUUCAAUAUUUGUUUGCGGGCGCAAUUGUUUGCCCCAAAUGUUCCAAAAAACCAUGCAUGUUCUUAAAUUGUACUUUCGUUUUUUAAAGAUCUGUACAUUUGAAGUCAUGUCGGAGGGACGAAAGUUUCUCUUUUGUUUUAA
RNA transcript from Trifolium pratense (red clover), 1304 nucleotides. It is a transcript of the gene named syntaxin-71-like, with no coding region annotated. The record is from RefSeq and is a predicted model, not a curated record. The transcript is spliced from 10 exons. NCBI's taxonomy places the organism in Eukaryota, Viridiplantae, Streptophyta, Magnoliopsida, Fabales, Fabaceae.